CGUCUGGAGGAUGAUGAGGUGAUCGCGUACAUGCUGUGAGGACUGGUAUUCGAGUAUGAUCCUCUUGUGACCAGCCUGACUACACGUACCGAUGCAGUCAUCCUCAACGAUGUGUAUGCCCAUAUGCUCAGCUAUGAGC
Molecule: small nucleolar RNA, 139 nt
Organism: Dioscorea cayenensis subsp. rotundata (Guinea yam)
Lineage: Eukaryota; Viridiplantae; Streptophyta; Magnoliopsida; Dioscoreales; Dioscoreaceae
Product: small nucleolar RNA Z247
Exons: 1
Source: RefSeq, a predicted model, not a curated record